Molecule: ribosomal RNA, 468 nt
Filed under: uncultured bacterium
Lineage: Bacteria
Description: partial 16S ribosomal RNA
Rfam family: Bacterial small subunit ribosomal RNA
Source: RNAcentral
GACGAACGCUGGCGGCGUGCUUAACACAUGCAAGUCGAACGGAAAGGCCCUGCUUUUGUGGGGUGCUCGAGUGGCGAACUGGUGAGUUACACGUGUGUAUCCUGCCCUUGACUUUGGGAUAUCUUCAGGAAACUUGUGCUAAUACCGGAUAGGAGCUCCUGCUGCAUGGUGGGGGUUGGAAAGUUUCGGCGGUUGGGGAUGGACUCGCGGCUUAUCAGCUUGUUUGUGGGGUAGUGGCUUACCAAGUCUUUGACGGGUAGCCGGGAUGAGAGGGUGACCGGCGAAAUUGGGACUGAGAGACGGCACAGACGCCAACGGGAGGCAGCAGUGGGGAAUAUUGCAAAAUGGGAGGAAGCCUGAGGAAGCAACGCCGGGAGCGGGAUGACGGCCAUGGGGGAGUAAAGCGAAGUCGCCUGAGACGAAGCGAGAGUGACGGUAAUGGGUAAAGAAGCACCGGCUAACUACGUG